UGCCAGCAGCAGCGGUAAUACGGAGGGUGCAAGCGUUGUUCGGAAUUAUUGGGCGUAAAGCGCGUGUAGGCGGUUCGUUAAGUCUUUGUUGUAAGUGCAAGGCUCAACCUUGUGAUGCUAAGGAAACCGGAUGACUUGAGUGUGAUAGAGGUAAGUGGAAUUCCAUGUGUAGCGGUAAAAUGCGUAAAUAUAUGGAGGAACACCAGUGGCGAAGGCGGCUUACUGGGUCACAACUGACGCUGAUGCACGAAAGCGUGGGGAGCAAACAGGAUUAGAUA
Molecule: ribosomal RNA, 278 nt
Filed under: uncultured bacterium
Lineage: Bacteria
Description: partial 16S ribosomal RNA
Rfam family: Bacterial small subunit ribosomal RNA
Source: RNAcentral